RNAcentral lists this transfer RNA (77 nucleotides) under Bartonella sp. RNAcentral's name for it is "tRNA-Met". It matches the Rfam family "tRNA". Rfam says of the family: Transfer RNA (tRNA) molecules are approximately 80 nucleotides in length. Their secondary structure includes four short double-helical elements and three loops (D, anti-codon, and T loops). RNAcentral also lists the same sequence under 37 other names. Lineage: Bacteria; Pseudomonadati; Pseudomonadota; Alphaproteobacteria; Hyphomicrobiales; Bartonellaceae. The record is from RNAcentral.
CGCGGGGUGGAGCAGCCCGGUAGCUCGUCAGGCUCAUAACCUGAAGGUCGUAGGUUCAAAUCCUACUCCCGCAACCA